RNAcentral lists this ribosomal RNA (2238 nucleotides) under Bacillus anthracis (anthrax bacterium). Its description in RNAcentral is "bacterial LSU rRNA". Lineage: Bacteria; Bacillati; Bacillota; Bacilli; Caryophanales; Bacillaceae. The record is from RNAcentral.
UUAAYGGGUGAUGGCGUGCCUUUUGUAGAAUGAACCGGCGAGUUACGAUCCCGUGCGAGGUUAAGCUGAAGAGGCGGAGCCGCAGCGAAAGCGAGUCUGAAUAGGGCGUUUAGUACGUGGUCGUAGACCCGAAACCAGGUGAUCUACCCAUGUCCAGGGUGAAGUUCAGGUAACACUGAAUGGAGGCCCGAACCCACGCACGUUGAAAAGUGCGGGGAUGAGGUGUGGGUAGCGGAGAAAUUCCAAUCGAACCUGGAGAUAGCUGGUUCUCCCCGAAAUAGCUUUAGGGCUAGCCUUAAGUGUAAGAGUCUUGGAGGUAGAGCACUGAUUGGACUAGGGGUCCUCAUCGGAUUACCGAAUUCAGUCAAACUCCGAAUGCCAAUGACUUAUCCUUAGGAGUCAGACUGCGAGUGAUAAGAUCCGUAGUCAAAAGGGAAACAGCCCAGACCGCCAGCUAAGGUCCCAAAGUGUGUAUUAAGUGGAAAAGGAUGUGGAGUUGCUUAGACAACUAGGAUGUUGGCUUAGAAGCAGCCACCAUUUAAAGAGUGCGUAAUAGCUCACUAGUCGAGUGACUCUGCGCCGAAAAUGUACCGGGGCUAAAUACACCACCGAAGCUGCGGAUUGAUACCAAUGGUAUCAGUGGUAGGGGAGCGUUCUAAGGACAGUGAAGUCAGACCGGAAGGACUGGUGGAGUGCUUAGAAGUGAGAAUGCCGGUAUGAGUAGCGAAAGACGGGUGAGAAUCCCGUCCACCGAAUGCCUAAGGUUUCCUGAGGAAGGCUCGUCCGCUCAGGGUUAGUCAGGACCUAAGCCGAGGCCGACAGGCGUAGGCGAUGGACAACAGGUUGAUAUUCCUGUACCACCUCUUUAUCGUUUGAGCAAUGGAGGGACGCAGAAGGAUAGAAGAAGCGUGCGAUUGGUUGUGCACGUCCAAGCAGUUAGGCUGAUAAGUAGGCAAAUCCGCUUAUCGUGAAGGCUGAGCUGUGAUGGGGAAGCUCCUUAUGGAGCGAAGUCUUUGAUUCCCCGCUGCCAAGAAAAGCUUCUAGCGAGAUAAAAGGUGCCUGUACCGCAAACCGACACAGGUAGGCGAGGAGAGAAUCCUAAGGUGUGCGAGAGAACUCUGGUUAAGGAACUCGGCAAAAUGACCCCGUAACUUCGGGAGAAGGGGUGCUUUCUUAACGGAAAGCCGCAGUGAAUAGGCCCAAGCGACUGUUUAGCAAAAACACAGCUCUCUGCGAAGCCGUAAGGCGAAGUAUAGGGGGUGACACCUGCCCGGUGCUGGAAGGUUAAGGAGAGGGGUUAGCGUAAGCGAAGCUCUGAACUGAAGCCCCAGUAAACGGCGGCCGUAACUAUAACGGUCCUAAGGUAGCGAAAUUCCUUGUCGGGUAAGUUCCGACCCGCACGAAAGGUGUAACGAUUUGGGCACUGUCUCAACCAGAGACUCGGUGAAAUUAUAGUACCUGUGAAGAUGCAGGUUACCCGCGACAGGACGGAAAGACCCCGUGGAGCUUUACUGUAGCCUGAUAUUGAAUUUUGGUACAGUUUGUACAGGAUAGGCGGGAGCCUUUGAAACCGGAGCGCUAGCUUCGGUGGAGGCGCUGGUGGGAUACCGCCCUGACUGUAUUGAAAUUCUAACCUACGGGUCUUAUCGACCCGGGAGACAGUGUCAGGUGGGCAGUUUGACUGGGGCGGUCGCCUCCUAAAGUGUAACGGAGGCGCCCAAAGGUUCCCUCAGAAUGGUUGGAAAUCAUUCGUAGAGUGCAAAGGCAUAAGGGAGCUUGACUGCGAGACCUACAAGUCGAGCAGGGACGAAAGUCGGGCUUAGUGAUCCGGUGGUUCCGCAUGGAAGGGCCAUCGCUCAACGGAUAAAAGCUACCCCGGGGAUAACAGGCUUAUCUCCCCCAAGAGUCCACAUCGACGGGGAGGUUUGGCACCUCGAUGUCGGCUCAUCGCAUCCUGGGGCUGUAGUCGGUCCCAAGGGUUGGGCUGUUCGCCCAUUAAAGCGGUACGCGAGCUGGGUUCAGAACGUCGUGAGACAGUUCGGUCCCUAUCCGUCGUGGGCGUAGGAAAUUUGAGAGGAGCUGUCCUUAGUACGAGAGGACCGGGAUGGACGCACCGCUGGUGUACCAGUUGUUCUGCCAAGGGCAUAGCUGGGUAGCUAUGUGCGGAAGGGAUAAGUGCUGAAAGCAUCUAAGCAUGAAGCCCCCCUCAAGAUGAGAUUUCCCAUAGCGUAAGCUAGU